Molecule: long non-coding RNA, 1192 nt
Organism: Piliocolobus tephrosceles (Ugandan red Colobus)
Lineage: Eukaryota; Metazoa; Chordata; Mammalia; Primates; Cercopithecidae
Exons: 2
Source: RefSeq, a predicted model, not a curated record
GCACAGCUCACGUAGCUUCCCUCAGAAGCGCUUUACCCCAUCCAAAGAUACAUCUUGGCAGAGAAAAUCAAGGCAGAUUUUGUUUAAAAAGGUAGGAGAUAGCAAAGCCGCUUUCUUCCCUGGAAGAAAGUCUAUAUACAGACAACCUGCUAGCUUCAUCCUCCAAUGCCUGUGGACUACAGUCGAAGGGAAAAUAUCUUUAAAAGAAAAAUGUGACCGCCUAUAGAAGCUUGUAGGGGAAAGAUCCCACCCAGCUAAGCAAACAUGGAUGAAAUGGGAAGGCAGCUUAACACCAUAGUGGUGUAAGACCGGUUCUGAGACCAGCUUGUUUGAUUUGAGUUAGAAUGACCCUGAUUGUUGUCAGAGGGCAGGGCGUGCCCUGGGUACAGCGCGGUCCAACAGAAACAGGCGAAACUAGCUUUCCUCUGAGCUUGCUACUAAGGGCAGCAACUGAGGAACGUUUGACAGCUUAUCGAGCACAGAGGCACGUUCUGACCCCAGCCCUGUGAGGAAUGAGCUCUCUGGCUUGUUUCGCAGGCGGGGAAACAGACUCAGAGGCCAGUGGCUUGCCCAGGAUGUCCCAGAGCUAGCACCUGGCAGAGUCAGGGCUUCUGGGGGUCCAGCUGCACACCUCAUGUUUUUUCCGUGGAACCAUGCCACUGUCAUUUGGAACGCAGCCAGCAGGGUGAGGACCACACUGCUAGUGGACUGACCCCAUGCCUGAGCUUGGUGUGAUGGUCUUAGCUCCAUGUGAGUAACUAAACCGCUUUUGGCUUCAGUUUCCCCAGCUGCAUGAGGAGGGGACUGACUCCAACUCACACCUUCCCAGAAGGAAGGCAUAACUAUGGCACACAGGAGAAAUCGGGAGGAACCAGACUGCAUGGCUUCCUGUGAAUUCUGUCCCUUGGAGGAUGCUGGACUUUCGCAACCUGCUGUACCAGAGACCAAGAACCUGGGUGCCAGAGCAGAUGGACUGGGGAUGGAGGACCAAAUCCACUACUUCCAAACUGAAGACUUUGAGCAGAUCGCUUGGCCUAGCCAAGACUCAGUAUCUUUUUCUGUAAAAUGGGGACAAAAAGGACUGCCCUCUCCCCAAGGUGGUUGUGAAGAGUGAGACAGUGCGUGGAGUGUGCUAGGCAUGCUGCCUGGUGUAAGAACUGUCCCAUAAAUGAUCGGUCACUUUUCUUGUUAA